RNAcentral lists this long non-coding RNA (1014 nucleotides) under Astyanax mexicanus (Mexican tetra). Its description in RNAcentral is "lncRNA (ENSAMXG00005016815.1)". The record is from RNAcentral. Lineage: Eukaryota; Metazoa; Chordata; Actinopteri; Characiformes; Acestrorhamphidae.
ACUGCCACAAAGGACAUCAUUCUCUUCUUCUUCUUCUUCUUCUUCUCUUUUUUUUUUUUAAUUGCUUGUGUUUUCAAUUAACGUUGCUCUGAUUAUGUGCUGAUAUGUGGAGUUUAUGAUGGUCAGCCUCUGUAUGAUUUGAUAGUAUAAAGAUAUGACUUUCAGGGGGCAUUAAACGCCUCAUAUAACAGAUAAUUACUCCUCUGUUCAUCGGCCGUGUGAAAAUGUUUGUGCUACACAUUAAUUUUUAAUAAAUCUGUCCGUUUUAAACAUUACUGUCUUUGCGGCCGAGCGUGGGUCCGUUCGAGAGGACGGAGGGCAUGGCUGAGCAUGGGAAAUCGGCCCUGCCGUUUUCCUGCGGGGUGUGAAGGGGCAGUCAGUUAAGGCUCGUAGCCUUUGUAAAAGUGUCAGUGUGUAGGUACUGCAGGGCAAAAAACAAUUCACCAAUUCAAUUAGGCCAUUAUCUCCUCAUCAGGUCUAGAUGCCCCAGAGCGGCGAGAUAUCAGAGGGAGAGACUUGUGACCUGAACCAGCUUCAAAGUGGAGUACAGUUGUUCCCCGGCUGAGUUGAUUCAUUCCCACGUCAGUGCCCUAUCCAAGUGUCCAGGCGCCCCCUAGAGGCAGAGACAGUUAAUGCUGCACUUUUACAAGAUGUGUCAGGAUUCUUCUGUGGCUUUGCCAGGACGUUCCAGAUUUAGGGCCUGUGGAAUCUCCCCGUGGCGGUGCGCAGCCCUGCGAGAAAGAGGAUGGGGGCCGGAGAAUGUGUGUGCGUGUGUGUGCGUGCAUGUGUGUGUGUGUGUACACACACUUUUGUGUGUUUCGCACAUUGUCCUGUCAGUUUGCACCAUUUGCUCUGCACUAGAUCAACAGAUUUCUGUGUUCUGUCUGGUGUGUGUGAGUUAUAAAACCCUUCAAACAUUUAGAUUUAGUGUUUUCAAUAGCUCAACAUAAACCUGGCUUUUUAAUAAUAUGACGCAGAAAUAAAUUAAGAAAUAUUACAGAUUUCUGAGGUUCA